UCGAGUCCACACGGGUGCCCCUGCAGGGGCUGAGAUCAGGCGAUGCACGCCUGGACCGUCGAACCUGACCGGGUCAUGCCGGCGUAGGAAGUGAGGGCUCAUCAUGA
RNAcentral lists this non-coding RNA (107 nucleotides) under Nesterenkonia sp. RNAcentral's name for it is "TPP sequence". It matches the Rfam family "TPP riboswitch aptamer (THI element)". From Rfam's summary of the family: Vitamin B(1) in its active form thiamin pyrophosphate (TPP) is an essential coenzyme that is synthesised by coupling of pyrimidine and thiazole moieties in bacteria. The previously detected thiamin-regulatory element, thi box was extended, resulting in a new, highly conserved RNA secondary structure, the THI element, which is widely distributed in eubacteria and also occurs in some archaea. Analysis of operon structures identified a large number of new candidate thiamin-regulated genes, mostly transporters, in various prokaryotic organisms. The record is from RNAcentral. Lineage: Bacteria; Bacillati; Actinomycetota; Actinomycetes; Micrococcales; Micrococcaceae.